ACACUCCUACGGGAGGCAGCAGUGGGGAAUAUCGCACAAUGGGCGCAAGCCUGAUGCAGCCAUGCCGCGUGUAUGAAGAAGGCCUUCGGGUUGUAAAGUACUUUCAGCGGGGAGGAAGGCGAUAAGGUUAAUAACCUUGUCGAUUGACGUUACCCGCAGAAGAAGCACCGGCUAACUCCGUGCCAGCAGCCGCGGUAAUACGGAGGGUGCAAGCGUUAAUCGGAAUUACUGGGCGUAAAGCGCACGCAGGCGGUCUGUCAAGUCGGAUGUGAAAUCCCCGGGCUCAACCUGGGAACUGCAUUCGAAACUGGCAGGCUAGAGUCUUGUAGAGGGGGGUAGAAUUCCAGGUGUAGCGGUGAAAUGCGUAGAGAUCUGGAGGAAUACCGGUGGCGAAGGCGGCCCCCUGGACAAAGACUGACGCUCAGGUGCGAAAGCGUGGGGAGCAAACAGGAUUAGAAACCCUAGUAGUCCCAUG
Molecule: ribosomal RNA, 475 nt
Filed under: uncultured organism
Description: partial 16S ribosomal RNA
Rfam family: Bacterial small subunit ribosomal RNA
Source: RNAcentral